RNAcentral lists this ribosomal RNA (253 nucleotides) under uncultured bacterium. Its description in RNAcentral is "partial 16S ribosomal RNA". It matches the Rfam family "Bacterial small subunit ribosomal RNA", at positions 524 to 776 of the family's 1533-position model. The record is from RNAcentral.
UACGUAGGGGGCAAGCGUUGUCCGGAAUCAUUGGGCGUAAAGCGCGCGUAGGCGGCCCGGUAAGUCCGCUGUAAAAGUCCAGGGCUCAACCCUGGAAAGCCGGUGGAUACUGUCGGGCUAGAGUACGGAAGAGGCGAGUAGAAUUCCUGGUGUAGCGGUGGAAUGCGCAGAUAUCAGGAGGAAUACCCAUAGCGAAGGCAGCUCGCUGGGACGUUACUGACGCUGAGGCGCGAAAGCGUGGGGAGCGAACAGG